RNAcentral lists this ribosomal RNA (253 nucleotides) under uncultured bacterium. Its description in RNAcentral is "partial 16S ribosomal RNA". It matches the Rfam family "Bacterial small subunit ribosomal RNA", at positions 524 to 776 of the family's 1533-position model. The record is from RNAcentral.
UACGGAGGGUGCAAGCGUUAUCCGGAUUUACUGGGUUUAAAGGGUGCGUAGGCGGGCAGGUAAGUCAGAGGUGAAAUCUCCGAGCUUAACUCGGAAACUGCCUUUGAUACUAUUUGUCUUGAAUAUUGUGGAGGUAAGCGGAAUAUGUCAUGUAGCGGUGAAAUGCUUAGAUAUGACAGAGAACACCUAUUGCGAAGGCAGCUUACUACGCAUAUAUUGACGCUGAGGCACGAAAGCGUGGGGAGCAAACAGG